GAUGAACGCUGGCGGCGUGCCUAAUACAUGCAAGUCGAACGAAACUUCUUUAUCACCGAGUGCUUGCACUCACCGAUACAGAGUUGAGUGGCGAACGGGUGAGUAACACGUGGGCAACCUGCCCAAAAGAGGGGGAUAACACUUGGAAACAGGUGCUAAUACCGCAUAACCAUAGUUACCGCAUGGUAACUAUGUAAAAGGUGGCUAUACUACCGCUUUUGGAUGGGCCCGCGGGGCAUUAGCUAGUUGGUAGGGUAAAGGCUUACCAAGGCAAUGAUGCGUAGCCGAAUUGAGAGGUUGAUCGGCCACAUUGGGACUGAGACACGGCCCAAACUACUACGGGAGGCAGCAGUAGGGAAUCUUCCACAAUGGGCGAAAGCCUGAUGGAGCAACGCCGCGUGGGUGAAGAAGGUCUUCGGAUCGUAAAACCCUGUUGUUAGAGAAGAAAGUGCGUGAGAGUAACUGUUCACGUUUCGACGGUAUCUAACCAGAAAGCCACGGCUAACUACGUG
RNAcentral lists this ribosomal RNA (512 nucleotides) under uncultured bacterium. RNAcentral's name for it is "partial 16S ribosomal RNA". It matches the Rfam family "Bacterial small subunit ribosomal RNA", at positions 28 to 507 of the family's 1533-position model. The record is from RNAcentral.